Long non-coding RNA from Vitis vinifera (wine grape), 5628 nucleotides. RefSeq lists it as uncharacterized. Lineage: Eukaryota; Viridiplantae; Streptophyta; Magnoliopsida; Vitales; Vitaceae. The transcript has 2 exons. The record is from RefSeq and is a predicted model, not a curated record.
UUUUGAUCGUACGGCCAGAAAAUUUUGAGGUACGGUGUCAUAAUCUUUUGACCCUCUCCCAACGAGUCUCCGCUAAAUAUUAGGGUUUCUUCAUCUCCAGUUUCGCUGCGGCUGCGUCCUCACAGCUCAGUACUCCGAUGGUCUCGCUCUUUAGAUUUCAAAGUCUCUUCCUUGUGUUGGAUUGUGUUGUUUUUUUUUUUUUUUCUUCAUCUGGAAUGGGGGCGGGCUUCAGAGAAGAAACACUCAAACCCAAUGAGGGACAUCAAGGACCAGAAGCUCGUCCCUCAACAUCUCCAUCGGAUAAGGUGGAGAUAGUCUCACCAGAGCUACCAAGAUACCUUUUUUCCCCCUCGGUCUUGUUUCGUUCUACGUCGUUUCCCUUCUUGAAAUGUCAUCUUCUUGGUUCCCUUUUUUCUUUUUUUUUUUUCGUUUUUACAGAUCCUGGAACAACUCAGUGGCUAAACCACUGUUUUCUCUAAAGAGUUUCAAAGAAGGAAAGCUGUGAGUAUGUGGUUUUCUUCCUCUACUUUGUAAUGAGGUAGGACUUUUUGAGUUCUGUAGAGUGGUUAUAAGGAUUCUUUACCUUAUAGAACUGAAAAAGUAAAUGACUAUGGGAUGAUUUUUUUUUUUGCUUCUUGUUGAUGAUUUGAUUGGAAUUGUUGAAAAAUAAAAAUAGGUUGAAAUUUGGGGAGGAUGGUAUUAAUGUUCUGGUGAUUUUACUCCAAGUUAAAUAUUUGAUUGAUGAAAAAAAUUCUGCUUGAAUUUGAAGUAAAUUCUAUGGAAAUAACUUUUUGUAUUGGGGAACCAAAUUCCUCUUUUUCAUCUUUGAAUAUUUCACUUUAGGAACUGUCUUCUUAAAACCCUAAAAUUGAAAUUCGGGCCCCAAACUUCAACCUUUUUUAUUAAGUAAAAAACACAUGGAUAUCCCAUUUGGCUUAAAUGAACAAGCCAUCGUUACCAACAAAUAAAUCAUACGUGUGAAAACCGCUAUUCAUUAACAGAACAUUUGUUAUCAGUUUUCUGGGAGGAGAUUCCUUGGUACGAAUGUCUGUGGUGUUCUCAAAACAUUUUACCUGUGCUAGUAAGAACUAACAUAGGUUAGGUCAAUCACUAUGUUUUCUACAUCUAAGCAGCACCUCAAUUGGCCAAAACACCUCUAGCAUGGGGUGUUUGAUUGUUGUGUAUGGAGGCCUCCCCAGAUCAAACUGUUUUGGAUUAGGGUAGGUGGUGUUGGUGUUACAAUCAUUUUUUGUUCUACAAGUUGUCUUAAUACCAUGAUCAUUUUUGAGUGCAUAGAAUUGCUUAACAUGACAUUUAAGAGGUUCCUAGGUGGCAUUUCUAAUGGGUUCGCCCCCCUCCCCCCUGCCCUCUUGUGGCUUUCGUUCUAAUUACCAGAAGGUUGAUACUGGAGAGUGCCAUGCCAUCCCAUUUUGUUAAUUUACUCUUUUGAAGUAGACGUUUUCCUUUCGAGUCACAGCCCACAGACGUUUUCCUUUCGAGUCACCGCUUGGAGAUCUUUUCCUUUCAAGUUACCGCUGGGUGAUCUUUUCCACUUGAGUCACUGCUCAGAGACCUUUUCCUUUCAAGUCACUGCUCGGAGAUGUUCUCCUUUCAAGUCACAGCCUGGGGCUGUUUUCCUUUCGAGUUACAGCUCAGGGCCGUUUUCCUUUUGAGUCACAACCCAGAGCCCAGAGCUGCUUUGCCUUCAAGUCACUGCCUGGAGCUGUUUCUGUUUUGAGUCACUGCCCUGAGCUAUUUCCCUUUUGAGUCACUACCUGGAGCUUUUUCCCUUGCGAGUCACUUCCCGGAGCUGUCUCCCUUCUGAGUCACUGUCCAGCUCUGUUUCCCUUCUGAGUCACUGCCCAGCUCUGUUUCCCUUCUGAGUCACUGCCCACCUCUGUUUACCUGUCUGUGGUUGUUCCCCUUCAGAGUCACUCUCUGGAGAUGUUUCCCUUCUGAGUCACUGCCCAGAGAUGUUUCCCUUUGGAGUUAUAGCUCAGAGCUGUUUCCCUUCCUAGUCAUAGCCCAAAGAUGUUUGCCUUCCGAGUCACAACCCAGAGCUGUUGUCUUUUGAGUCACAGCCCAAAGCUGGUUUCCUUUCGAGUCACAGCCAGAGUUGGUUUCCUUUCGAGUCACAGCCAGAGCUGGUUUCCUUUCUACUUCUAUUUUACCCACCCAUUAUAAGCAUUUGUGCAACUUCAUUUAUGUUAACCAAAUUUUGGUCUACAAGUUUUAUAUUUUUCAUCUCUACAUGUAGUCUUAGAAUUUAACUUGUUGAGACCAGCUAAAUAGCAUUAGCAUGUGAGAUCACAGUUCUUUGAUAUUUUUGUAACUUUGUCGCAUCUAAACAUUGACUCCAUGGUGAAAGGAUUUUUUUUAAACACAUUUACAGUUCUAUUCAAAGGAUAAUAAUUGUUGAUGGUUGGAUUAUUUUUAUUUUAUUUUUUGCUGUGUCAUACAAUUUUCCUUGCCUCUUUCACAAAUGCAUUCUAGUGAAUAUUUCAAUGUUGGUGCGAAUGAACUCUACUUUAACUACAUGUCUAAUUAAUCAUGUAAAUAGACAAUACAUUGUUUCCAUCUUUUCACAAUAGUACUUGCAUGCGAGGUGACAUUUUUUAAGUUGAAGAGAGUGAUUGAAGGAUAUUUUGUUUUAGAUUGACAAUAUUUAAAUAUCUUACUCUGCUUUAGCUACAUGUCCAAUUAAUCAUGUAAUAAACAGUAUAUCAUUUCCAUCAUUUUACAAUAGUACUUGAAGGUGACAUGACAUUUUUUAAGUUGAAGAGAAUGCUUGAUGGAUAUUUUGUUUUAAAUUGACAAUAUUCAAAUAUCUUAUGAAACCACAAGUUUCAACUUUCAAUAUGCCUAUAAAUAUGAUAUUCAACAUCAUCCUUUUCUAUAUAUGCUACUAAUGAAGGAUCUUAGUUAAUUACAAUUUAAUGGUUUGAUUGUUUGUAGAAGACUAGACGAAUUGAUUAUUGUUUGGGAAAUUGCUAAUCACCAUAAAGUUAUCGAGGAUACUCUUGUGAUAUAUUUUGCCCAUCUAAAACAAGGUAAAACAUUCUCAUAUUUUUCCUUUUUCUCCUAGCAAGCUAGGUCUUAGCUUUAGCAAAUGAAAUAACAUAGAGAAGUUUUUGUUGAAAUUUUUGAUGUCAUAUCAACUGUAACCCUGCUCUAAUGUAUAUUUGGUCAACAUUGUUAUAUAAAAUAAUGGAUCUGGGUUGAUACACCAACAUUUGAAUUUAAUGUUUAUUCUUAGUUUAACUAAUGGUGAAAGUGGUGAUUUUGGGUUGCAUUCACCAAGAGUUUGCUAAGAAAACCUCCCAAUCUCACAUCUAGAGCAAAGACACUUCAAAUAAUCCUAAUUUUCUUUUAAUUCUUCAUUUAUAAAUUAAAAAACUAGGUCAAGGGAGGGUUGUUUGUGUUAUGUAUAGCAUUGUUUGCAAAAUUAGAGAAAAUAAAAUACACAAAAGGAGACGAGGAACAGAGAGGGAUAAAUCUUACUUAAGACUUAUGAAACUCCUACCUAGAAGAGAAAGUGAUGAAGUCUCACCAUUAAAAGUAUAACAAUACAAAAUCAGCAUUACAUCAAGGGAGGGCUAGUUGUGUUGUAAUAUUGUAUAUAGAAUUCAAGAAAAUUAAAUAAAGAAAAAGAAAGGGAGAAUAGGGAUAGAGAUGGAUGGAUCUCCCUAAGGCUUUCUAAGAAUCUCACUUAAAAGAGAGAGUAGUGGAGUCAAAGCUUUUUUAAGUUAUGAGCUUGCCUAUGCAGAUGCUAUGGAAUUUUAAAAUUUGCUUUUACCCACGAAGUUUGGUUCAAUAUGGAAAAGCUAGAAAUUCUGUUUUUUUUUUUUUUUGAUAAGUAUGCAGAAAAUAUUAUAAAUGGAAGAAAUGUUGAAACUCGCCAUCGUACAUCAAGAGUAUACAAAGGGAGCCCAGCGGAAAGAACAAGGAAAAAGAAGGGCAAGGAACAAACUACUUGGCUCCUAACCAACCUACAAAAUUGAUCAAAGGCAAGAAUUCCUUCUAAUGAAUCCUAACAUGGUCUAAUAAGGAAAGUGAAAGAGCAUAUUUAAGCGCUUGAUCCAGAGUUUCCACGUCUUCAAAAGACCUUUGAUUUCUUUCAUGCGAAAUGACCCAAAAAAGGCAUAAAGGGGCAGCUAGCCAAGCUUUGUUCCAUUUUUUCCCUACUUAUAUACCCCACUCCAGCUUAGCAACGUCAAUCUAACCAAAGAAUGCAUCAUCACCGCAACCCAAAUAACGAGAAAAUCAACUGUCACAGAUAACUAGUUGUAAUACAGUGUAGAAGCAAGUGGUUGAGGGACUCCUCCUCCCUUGUACACAGAAAGCUGGAAAUUCUUCUUCGUGGACCUUAUUUUGUACUAUAGGACUUUGUUCAAUAUAUAUAUCUCAAAUGAACUUGAAAUCUUAAUUUAUUUGAUCUUUCCUAUGACAUGCUUACAUGUAAUCGAUAUUUUUUAAGUAAUAUUCCAAUUCUAAUAUGUGUUUCUAUUUCUUAAAUUAAUCCACCAUUUGGAGCUACCUUGGUUUUAAUUGUUAAUCAUGUUGAUACUUGAAAUUGGUGAAAAAAUUAAAAUAUUUGAACAAAAAGAUACCAUUAGUUAAGGGAAGAACAAAAGGAGUUAAAGGUUACGGGUAGCCUAACUUGAACCCCAAGUGAAAUAGAAAUUGACAAGAGAUUACAGAAUUGGUAUUUCUUUAUUUUUCUAUUUCUCCUUAUUACGUGCGCUGUUGCCUUUGUACUUUGUAUUGUUACAAAAUCAUAUUGAGAAUGAGUUUAUAGACACUUUUAUCUCUACAUGAACACCAUCAUAUUAGAAACUUUCACAUAUGUUUGAUCUUUUCAUAUGCUAAGAAAUUCUAAGCCCUGUACAUUUGUUUGAUCUUGUCAUGUAGUUACAUCAGACCCAAAUGAUCAAUGUUGUAAAUUUCAUUGCAUAUAAUCCAAAAUAUUAGUUACAUGCUCGUAGGUUUGAUGUUCAGGUUUGAUCUAUAAUCAAUUAAUUUAUAUUACCUGUUUUGUUGUUGUAGGAUUAAUGUUCAAGUGUUGACAAUUUUGGGGUUUUGUAGGAUUAAUGUUCAAGGUUUGAUCUAUAUAUAUUUAUGUUUUUAAAUAUUUAAAUGUAUAUUAAAUAGGUUUUGAGCAUAAUAGAUAUCAAAUUGAAUUUGGCAACAGAUUUCAGCACCAUCUAUUUUCCAUUAAUGUUAAAUGUAUGAGUAAUUGUUGGUAGUUGGUCGGUAAUGACAAGGGGACAAUCCAGGGGAUGGGGAAGGCGAUGGUGGUUGAGAAAAGGUGCAGAAGAUUCGUCCGGCAAGCACUACAUGCACUGCAUUUGCAGCAUCUGAGGGAUGGAAGUCAUCCCAAAACGCAUACUAGUCAAGAAUUGCUGCAUAGCUUUGAGUGAGGCAAAACAUAUUGAGAUUAUUGUUUGAAGAAAUUGAUUUAUGUGUGAUAUUUGAUGAUAAUAUCAUGUGCACCAAUAAAAAAUAUGAAUUAGCGUUUUGGGAUUGUAAGAAGCAAAAUUUGAUCGCACUAUCUAUUGUGGAAGUCAAGUACAUUGCCACUAGAUUGUGUCGUGUACAAAUUGUUUAGAUGAAACAAAUUUUAAGUGA